UAGGGAAUCUUCGGCAAUGGACGGAAGUCUGACCGAGCAACGCCGCGUGAGUGAAGAAGGUUUUCGGAUCGUAAAGCUCUGUUGUAAGAGAAGAACGAGUGUGAGAGUGGAAAGUUCACACUGUGACGGUAUCUUGCCAGAAAGGGACGGCUAACUACGUGCCAGCAGCCGCGGUAAUACGUAGGUCCCGAGCGUUGUCCGGAUUUAUUGGGCGUAAAGCGAGCGCAGGCGGUUAGAUAAGUCUGAAGUUAAAGGCUGUGGCUUAACCAUAGUAGGCUUUGGAAACUGUUUAACUUGAGUGCAAGAGGGGAGAGUGGAAUUCCAUGUGUAGCGGUGAAAUGCGUAGAUAUAUGGAGGAACACCGGUGGCGAAAGCGGCUCUCUGGCUUGUAACUGACGCUGAGGCUCGAAAGCGUGGGGAGCAAACAGGAUUAGAUACCCUGGUAGUCCACGCCGUAAACGAUGAGUGCUAGGUGUUAGACCCUUUCCGGGGUUUAGUGCCGUAGCUAACGCAUUAAGCACUCCGCCUGGGGAGUACGACCGCAAGGUUG
This 550-nucleotide ribosomal RNA is filed under the name uncultured bacterium. Its description in RNAcentral is "bacterial SSU rRNA". It matches the Rfam family "Bacterial small subunit ribosomal RNA", at positions 355 to 896 of the family's 1533-position model. The record is from RNAcentral.